Molecule: ribosomal RNA, 253 nt
Filed under: uncultured bacterium
Lineage: Bacteria
Description: partial 16S ribosomal RNA
Rfam family: Bacterial small subunit ribosomal RNA
Source: RNAcentral
UACGAAGGUGGCAAGCGUUACUCGGAUUUACUAGGCGUAAAGGGCAGGUAGGUGGUUUGAUAAGUCUGCUGUGUAAGCUCCCGGCUUAACUGGGAGAGGUCAGCGGAUACUGUCAGGCUUGAGUAUGGGAGAGGGUACUGGAAUUCCUGGUGUAGCGGUGAAAUGCGCAGAUAUCAGGAGGAACACCAAUGGCGAAAGCAGGUACCUGGACCAUUACUGACACUCAGCUGCGAAAGCUAGGGGAGCAAACAGG